AUGUCGUCUUCCUCCCGAGUAAGGGUUGGGACUCUGGUUCCCUUUGCUGAAGGCAAAUCUGGUUCGCCGAAUGCGUCGCCGCCAAUGCCAAGCAUUCCCAUCCUUGAGGGCUCCAAUGUCGUCGGGAGGAGUAAUUUGGUGGCUGUUGACAAGAGGGUCAGCCGCAAGCAUUUGAGCUUGCGCGCCUUGCCUGAUGGCUCCGUCGAAGUCGUCGUGGAGGGGCCAAAUCCCAUUGUUGUCCGAUCAGAGGGUCAGAGAAGAAAAGUUUGUGCUCAGCAGAAAGCCAAGGUUAUGCACGAUGAUGUCCUGGAGCUGAUUCCCGGUGAAUAUUUUAUGAAGUAUGUCAAUACGAGCGAUGAGCGUAAAAGUUCCACAUCAGUCGAAUCACAUGACUUAAAAAAAGGGAAGAGGCAUAGCGAGGAAGAUAGUGUAGCUGCAAAGAGAAAUCGACAAGUUAUGGAAGAUGAGGCUUUGGCAAGAACUUUGCAGGAAAGCUUUGCAGAAGAGAGUACAUCUGUUACUGAAGUAUUAAGUUCACUUGAUAGUGUUGGUUCUUCCGAGAGAAACAAAGAGAGAACGGAUUCUGUCGGUCCUUUGAAAGAUGUACUUCCGUUGACUUUUCGACUCAUGCGUGUCCAAGGUCUUCCAUCAUGGACUAACACUUCAACAGUUACCAUUCAGGAUGUCAUACAGGGUGAAGUGCUUCUUGCUGUACUCUCAAAUUAUAUGGUGGACAUGGAUUGGUUGCUUACUGCAUGUCCAAGUCUAAGGAAAGUUCCACAUGUCCUAGUUCUUCAUGGAGAGGAUGGUGCUUCAUUGGAGCACUUGAAGAAAACGAAGCCUGCAAAUUGGAUCCUUCACAAGCCCCCGCUCCCAAUAUCAUUUGGAACACAUCAUUCGAAGGCCAUGCUGCUUGUAUAUCCUCAAGGAAUUCGCGUUGUUGUUCACACUGCAAAUUUGAUACAUGUUGACUGGAAUAACAAAAGUCAGGGACUAUGGACACAAGAUUUUCCCUGGAAGGAAGCAAAUGAUAUGAGUACAAAUAUUGGUUUUGAGAAUGACCUGGUUGAUUAUCUCAGGGCACUUAAGUGGCCUGAGUUCAGGGUAAAUCUCCCAGUUGCUGGUGAUGUCAACAUCAAUGCAGCAUUCUUUCGGAAAUUUGAUUAUAGUAGCUCAACGGUCAGGUUGAUCGGAUCUGUUCCUGGUUAUCAUGUCGGACCCAAUAUGAAAAAGUGGGGCCAUAUGAAGCUUAGGAGUGUUCUUGAAGAAUGCGUAUUUGAAAAGCAGUUUUGCAAGUCACCACUUAUUUAUCAGUUUUCGUCCUUGGGGUCACUUGAUGAGAAAUGGAUGAGUGAAUUCGCAUGCUCGUUAUCAGCUGGUAAAGCAGAUGAUGGAUCACAGUUGGGUAUCGGGAAACCACUGAUUGUCUGGCCAACAGUGGAGGAUGUUAGGUGCUCAAUAGAGGGUUAUGCAGCUGGCAGUUGCAUUCCAAGUCCUCAAAAGAAUGUUGAGAAAGAUUUCUUGAGAAAAUAUUGGUCCAGGUGGAAAGCAGACCACGUAGGCCGUUGCCGUGCUAUGCCGCACAUAAAAACUUUUACUCGCUACAAUGGUCAAAAUAUUGCAUGGUUUCUGCUUACCUCAUCAAAUUUAAGCAAAGCUGCUUGGGGAGCACUGCAGAAGAACAAUUCACAGCUGAUGAUACGAUCAUAUGAGUUAGGUGUAUUGUUCUUGCCCAAAACUCUCCAGUCUGUUCCACAAUUUUCAUGCACAGAGAAGAGCCGCUCAAACCUGGAUAAACUUGCCCUUGGUAAGAACAUCAAGACCAAGCUGGUGACACUUUGCUGGAAAGGCGAUGAAGAAAAGGAUCCAUCUGCAGAAGUUGUGAGAUUGCCAGUGCCAUAUCAACUCCCUCCACAACUCUACGGCCCGGAAGAUGUCCCAUGGUCGUGGGAUCGGAGGUACACGAAGAAGGAUGUGUAUGGUUCAGUCUGGCCACGCCAUGGCUAG
This 2007-nucleotide ribosomal RNA is filed under the name Triticum aestivum (bread wheat). RNAcentral describes it as "partial small subunit ribosomal RNA". The record is from RNAcentral. Lineage: Eukaryota; Viridiplantae; Streptophyta; Magnoliopsida; Poales; Poaceae.